GAGCACGUAGGUGGGUUUGUAAGUCAGAUGUGAAAACCUUCUGUUCAACGGAAGAAUUGCUUCUGAAACUACAAUCCUUGAGUAUAGGAGGGGAGAGUGGAACUUCUGGUGGAGCAGUGAAAGGCGUAGAUUUCAGAAGGAAGCCCGGCGCCGAAAGCGACUCUCUGGCCUAUAACUGCCACUGAGUGUGCGAAAGCUAGGGGACCAAACGGGAUUAGAUACCCCGGUAGUCCUAGCCGUAACCGAUGGGCACUAAGUAGAGGGGUUUU
Molecule: ribosomal RNA, 269 nt
Filed under: uncultured anaerobic ammonium-oxidizing bacterium
Lineage: Bacteria
Description: partial 16S ribosomal RNA
Rfam family: Bacterial small subunit ribosomal RNA
Source: RNAcentral